RNAcentral lists this ribosomal RNA (454 nucleotides) under uncultured organism. RNAcentral's name for it is "partial 16S ribosomal RNA". It matches the Rfam family "Bacterial small subunit ribosomal RNA", at positions 334 to 797 of the family's 1533-position model. The record is from RNAcentral.
CACUCCUGCGGGAGGCAGCAGUGGGGAAUAUUGCACAAUGGGCGCAAGCCUGAUGCAGCGACGCCGCGUGGGGGAUGAAGGCCUUCGGGUUGUAAACUCCUUUCGCUAGGGACGAAGCUUUUUUGUGACGGUACCUAGAUAAGAAGCACCGGCUAACUACGUGCCAGCAGCCGCGGUAAUACGUAGGGUGCGAGCGUUGUCCGGAAUUACCGGGCGUAAAGGGCUCGUAGGUGGUUUGUCGCGUCGUCUGUGAAAUUCUGGGGCUUAACUCCGGGCGUGCAGGCGAUACGGGCAUAACUUGAGUGCUGUAGGGGUAACUGGAAUUCCUGGUGUAGCGGUGAAAUGCGCAGAUAUCAGGAGGAACACCGAUGGCGAAGGCAGGUUACUGGGCAGUUACUGACGCUGAGGAGCGAAAGCAUGGGUAGCGAACAGGAUUAGAAACCCGAGUAGUCCC